GUAGGUAACCUGCCUUGUANCGGGGGNGUAACUAUUGGAACGAUAGCUAAUACCGCAUAACAAUGGAUGACACAUGUCAUUUAUUUGAAAGGGGCAAUUGCUCCACUACAAGAUGGACCUGCGUUGUAUUAGCUAGUAGGUGAGGUAAUGGCUCACCUAGGCGACGAUACAUAGCCGACCUGAGAGGGUGAUCGGCCACACUGGGACUGAGACACGGCCCAGACUCCUACGGGAGGCAGCAUG
This 243-nucleotide ribosomal RNA is filed under the name uncultured bacterium. RNAcentral describes it as "partial 16S ribosomal RNA". It matches the Rfam family "Bacterial small subunit ribosomal RNA", at positions 117 to 353 of the family's 1533-position model. The record is from RNAcentral.